RNAcentral lists this ribosomal RNA (911 nucleotides) under Acanthohelicospora aurea. Its description in RNAcentral is "LSU rRNA". It matches the Rfam family "Eukaryotic large subunit ribosomal RNA", at positions 38 to 966 of the family's 3401-position model. Lineage: Eukaryota; Fungi; Ascomycota; Dothideomycetes; Tubeufiales; Tubeufiaceae. The record is from RNAcentral.
GCAUAUCAAUAAGCGGAGGAAAAGAAACCAACAGGGAUUGCCUCAGUAACGGCGAGUGAAGCGGCAAUAGCUCAAAUUUGAAAUCUGGCUCUUUCAGAGUCCGAGUUGUAAUUUGUAGAGGAUGUUUCGGCUUACGCCCCGGUCUAAGUUCCUUGGAACAGGACGUCACAGAGGGUGAGAAUCCCGUAUGUGGCCGGCGGCUUCCGCCAUGUGAAACUCCUUCGACGAGUCGAGUUGUUUGGGAAUGCAGCUCUAAAUGGGAGGUAAAUUUCUUCUAAAGCUAAAUACUGGCCAGAGACCGAUAGCGCACAAGUAGAGUGAUCGAAAGAUGAAAAGCACUUUGGAAAGAGAGUUAAAAAGUACGUGAAAUUGUUGAAAGGGAAGCGCUUGCGACCAGACUUGCCCGCGGAUGCUCAACCGGUCCUUCGGCCGGUGCACUCUUCCGCGGUCAGGCCAGCAUCAGUUCGGGCGGUUGGAUAAAGGCUUUGGGAAUGUGGCUCUCUUCGGGGAGUGUUAUAGCCCAUUGUGCAAUACAACCUGCCUGGACUGAGGCCCGCGCUUCGGCUAGGAUGCUGGCGUAAUGGUCGUAAGCGGCCCGUCUUGAAACACGGACCAAGGAGUCUAACAUCUAUGCGAGUGUUUGGGUGUCAAACCCGUGCGCGUAAUGAAAGUGAACGGAGGUGGGAACCUUUUGGGGUGCACCAUCGACCGAUCCUGAUGUCUUCGGAUGGAUUUGAGUAAGAGCAUAGCUGUUGGGACCCGAAAGAUGGUGAACUAUGCCUGAAUAGGGUGAAGCCAGAGGAAACUCUGGUGGAGGCUCGCAGCGGUUCUGACGUGCAAAUCGAUCGUCAAAUUUGGGUAUAGGGGCGAAAGACUAAUCGAACCAUCUAGUAGCUGGUUUCCUGCCGAAG